CCUACGGGGGGCUGCAGUGGGGAAUAUUGGACAAUGGGCGAAAGCCUGAUCCAGCCAUGCCGCGUGGGUGAAGAAGGCCCUAGGGUUGUAAAGCCCUUUCGGCGGGGACGAUGAUGACGGUACCCGCAGAAGAAGCCCCGGCUAACUUCGUGCCAGCAGCCGCGGUAAUACGAAGGGGGCUAGCGUUGCUCGGAAUUACUGGGCGUAAAGGGCGCGUAGGCUGCCAUGCUAGUCAGGUGUGAAACCCCCGGGCUCAACCUGGGAACUGCACUUGA
Molecule: ribosomal RNA, 275 nt
Filed under: uncultured Elioraea sp.
Lineage: Bacteria; Pseudomonadati; Pseudomonadota; Alphaproteobacteria; Acetobacterales; Elioraeaceae
Description: partial 16S ribosomal RNA
Rfam family: Bacterial small subunit ribosomal RNA
Source: RNAcentral